UACGUAGGGGGCAAGCGUUGUCCGGAAUUAUUGGGCGUAAAGCGCGCGCAGGCGGUCCGUUAAGUCUUCUGUUUAAGCCCCGGGCUCAACCCGGGUACGCAGGGGAAACUGGCGGACUGGAGUGUAGGAGAGGAAAGUGGAAUUCCACGUGUAGCGGUGAAAUGCGUAGAGAUGUGGAGGAACACCAGUGGCGAAGGCGACU
RNAcentral lists this ribosomal RNA (202 nucleotides) under uncultured prokaryote. Its description in RNAcentral is "partial 16S ribosomal RNA". It matches the Rfam family "Bacterial small subunit ribosomal RNA", at positions 524 to 726 of the family's 1533-position model. The record is from RNAcentral.